Molecule: transfer RNA, 71 nt
Filed under: Pseudomonadota bacterium
Lineage: Bacteria; Pseudomonadati; Pseudomonadota
Also listed under: 2 other names
Description: tRNA-Gln
Rfam family: tRNA
About the family: Transfer RNA (tRNA) molecules are approximately 80 nucleotides in length.
Source: RNAcentral
UGGGGCGUGGUGUAAUGGCAGCACCACAGACUUUGGAUCUGUUGGUCUCGGUUCGAAUCCGAGCGCCCCGG